This 1590-nucleotide long non-coding RNA is filed under the name Homo sapiens (human). RNAcentral's name for it is "long intergenic non-protein coding RNA 1473". Lineage: Eukaryota; Metazoa; Chordata; Mammalia; Primates; Hominidae. The record is from RNAcentral.
CAGGUGAAGGACAUGUUUGCUUCCCUUUCCACCAUGAUUGCAAGUUUCCUGAGGCCUCCCUAGCCAUGCUGAACUCACAGUUUUUAAAGUAUCUAGUGUAUAUAAGGACAAGCCAUUCUCAGUCAAGCAUGAAACUGAAUCUGAGGAAAAGAAGAAAGCUGAAAACACACUGAGGAUUAUGGGAGAGGGGCAAGUGCAUGAAGCUUCUCAAUGACAUACAGACACUCUAAAAGCUCAAGAGAUCAAUUAUUCAACUUCAAGAACUGAAAUUUGAACACAGAUUUUGAGCUUCCAAAUCAGACUGCUGUUAAACUGGCUCACUCCAUAUACUCUGUGCUACAGCAAUUUAAUAUUUCAUUAAAAAGCAUUAAUGAUGGCUCCAGUGAAUUUCUCCUAUUCAAGCUCCAUAAUGACAGCAGUUCAAGCGAGUGUUGAUCUCUGAGUGAUGCAACACAAAAACAUCGCCUAACAAAGGAACACUUGGAGUACUACUCAUAUUCUCUGCAACUUGAGGAGAAAAAGAAGUGUUCUAUAAGAAGUUUGGACAAGACUCUGCAAGAAGUUAAGAGGUCCUUAAAGGCAACUGUGAAUUAACGGAGACUAGUUUUGAGAAAAUCAGUCCUGAUUUGUUUCUCCUGGAGUUUUCUUCUUUAUGUGAUCCUUCAUAAAAGCUGCUAAUAUGGGAAAGAUUGAAAUCAGCAAGUUUCUGGCUGUAAGCUAAAAGAGGCUCUUGAAUCAUAUUUCCGCCUGCUUAGCAAAUUUCUCUUGCGACAAUUGGAUGUUAUUUGGGGUUCCAUACUAGCAGGAAGAAGUACAAGCAAAGCUAAGUCAUUUUGAGAAUAAAUAUUAUCUCUCUAUAUAUUUGUAAAUGUUAUUUUCUUUUUUUUUGAGGUUUAUGAUUGAUCCUUGGCAUGUGUCCCCUUGUGUAUUGCUCUACUAAAAAUAGCCUAAAAAAGAAUUUUCCCCUCGAUGUGGAGCUUCUCUUUAGUUACAAUUCUACUUUCUCCUUCACUUGAGUAUCAGUCUUCAGAGAACUACCAUAACAAAGGAGUGGAUACAGAUAUACGCAAAAAAGUCUAUGAGAAAAUUAGUACAUUAAAUUUGUGAAAGCUCAUUUAAAGUAAUUUUCUACUAACAAUUUUAAUCAAAUGUAUUAAUCAUAUUUCUAUGCUUAGUGAUGUUAAAUAAAAAUUUAAAAGGUGGCAAUCAAUAAACAGAGAUAAAAGCUUCUCAAGAAUAAAUGAAAGGAAGUAAUAAAAAGACUCACUAAGCUGAAUUGCCUCCUAUCAACAGCAGCUGAUAAAAUAUUAAAAGAUUUGCCUUGUGUAAUGUCUCUGGAGAGCUGUCUUACUGAUGUACGAGGCCAUGAUUGACAACUUUGAGACUUUGCUGGAAGCGACAAAAGUAUAUCUAUAAUAUUAUGCUGAAUUGCAUAGGUCUUUCUUCUUAAAUGAGGCUAGAAAUAACAUACCACCAAGUGUUUGGCUUUUAGGAAAUUGAGCAUUUUCUUUAGUUCUAGCUGCAGUUUAAUUUCCUCAGAAUUAGACAUUAUGCGGUAUCUGGAACGUUAAAAAAAAAAAAAAGCAAAAA